Molecule: ribosomal RNA, 1230 nt
Filed under: Limosilactobacillus fermentum
Lineage: Bacteria; Bacillati; Bacillota; Bacilli; Lactobacillales; Lactobacillaceae
Description: bacterial SSU rRNA
Rfam family: Bacterial small subunit ribosomal RNA
Source: RNAcentral
CGCCAACGAGUGGCGGACGGGUGAGUAACACGUAGGUAACCUGCCCAGAAGCGGGGGACAACAUUUGGAAACAGAUGCUAAUACCGCAUAACAACGUUGUUCGCAUGAACAACGCUUAAAAGAUGGCUUCUCGCUAUCACUUCUGGAUGGACCUGCGGUGCAUUAGCUUGUUGGUGGGGUAACGGCCUACCAAGGCGAUGAUGCAUAGCCGAGUUGAGAGACUGAUCGGCCACAAUGGGACUGAGACACGGCCCAUACUCCUACGGGAGGCAGCAGUAGGGAAUCUUCCACAAUGGGCGCAAGCCUGAUGGAGCAACACCGCGUGAGUGAAGAAGGGUUUCGGCUCGUAAAGCUCUGUUGUUAAAGAAGAACACGUAUGAGAGUAACUGUUCAUACGUUGACGGUAUUUAACCAGAAAGUCACGGCUAACUACGUGCCAGCAGCCGCGGUAAUACGUAGGUGGCAAGCGUUAUCCGGAUUUAUUGGGCGUAAAGAGAGUGCAGGCGGUUUUCUAAGUCUGAUGUGAAAGCCUUCGGCUUAACCGGAGAAGUGCAUCGGAAACUGGAUAACUUGAGUGCAGAAGAGGGUAGUGGAACUCCAUGUGUAGCGGUGGAAUGCGUAGAUAUAUGGAAGAACACCAGUGGCGAAGGCGGCUACCUGGUCUGCAACUGACGCUGAGACUCGAAAGCAUGGGUAGCGAACAGGAUUAGAUACCCUGGUAGUCCAUGCCGUAAACGAUGAGUGCUAGGUGUUGGAGGGUUUCCGCCCUUCAGUGCCGGAGCUAACGCAUUAAGCACUCCGCCUGGGGAGUACGACCGCAAGGUUGAAACUCAAAGGAAUUGACGGGGGCCCGCACAAGCGGUGGAGCAUGUGGUUUAAUUCGAAGCUACGCGAAGAACCUUACCAGGUCUUGACAUCUUGCGCCAACCCUAGAGAUAGGGCGUUUCCUUCGGGAACGCAAUGACAGGUGGUGCAUGGUCGUCGUCAGCUCGUGUCGUGAGAUGUUGGGUUAAGUCCCGCAACGAGCGCAACCCUUGUUACUAGUUGCCAGCAUUAAGUUGGGCACUCUAGUGAGACUGCCGGUGACAAACCGGAGGAAGGUGGGGACGACGUCAGAUCAUCAUGCCCCUUAUGACCUGGGCUACACACGUGCUACAAUGGACGGUACAACGAGUCGCGAACUCGCGAGGGCAAGCAAAUCUCUUAAAACCGUUCUCAGUUCGGACUGCA